Molecule: non-coding RNA, 1024 nt
Organism: Physcomitrium patens
Lineage: Eukaryota; Viridiplantae; Streptophyta; Bryopsida; Funariales; Funariaceae
Source: RefSeq, a predicted model, not a curated record
CACAAGCAAUAGCUUGCAGUGAUGAGUUCAGUUGUGGAGGUCUCUUGCAAUGUAGCUUGCUUUUAAAAUGACAUGUUGAGAUUGUGUGUUAUUGCUUUUGUGGCGUGAAGAAUAGGGAUAAGUGCCUAUGGUCUUCCCCGUGUUUUGCAGGGAGAGUCCCAUUGAGGGCGCCGUAAGUUUGCUGCUUCAUAUCGAUACUCCGCUUGUGAUGACGCAAUUAUAGUGGCGGUCAUUUGUAAAAUCCCUGAGAAGGCCUGUCGAACAGGCAUAGGCAUACUGUGCAAGAUGGGCUCUCACAGUGUCCAUUGUGCCUUUUACAGAUCUUACGGACAAGUCUGUCAAGACACUACCGAGAGAAUUCUUGCUAAGAACAAUCCUCGCAGGUAUGUGGGAUAGCCAAGGCUUGGAUCAGUGAUUGAGUUGUCGAGAGAUACGGCGAGCUUAGAAGACAAAGCCAAAGACGUCAGCCUUCCUUUGUUUAGACUUCCUGUAAGAAGGAUGUUGUAACAGUGCCUGCUGUUGGUAGUUUCUUGGAUGAGAGUGCAAAAUCCUAGAACAAGACGAUUUGAACUUACAAGGGUGUGCUGCAUUCGCUCCUUUACGGAGAUCCUGACGACAAUGAUAUAUUAACAGUGAGACAAUGGAGGUGCAAAGAGCUGGUAAUCUUCUGACCAAACAACGCCUGAAGUUGCAAAUGAAAGUGAAGUAUGUUACAACAGGCGGAAAGGCUAGUACAGAAUGUGUGGCUCAUUACUUCAAGGUGAUGGUUCAAAGCAAGAGCCUCUUUGCAUCAAAAUUUGUGGGGGCAUCAAUUAAUGCUGUUUUGACUUGAGUUUCAAUGUCAACAAAAGGUUGGUUCAAAUUGGUUUACAGCAACCCCUUUCACAGCUAUAAUUCAAUUUGGACAUAAAGAAUUUUGUGUUUGAAAAACUUGGGAUAAAAAUCAUAAUUUUAUCGUAGGAGAGUUAAAAUUUAAAAUAAUGAUGUAAUUUGAGGUGUUGGAAAAAUAAUGUAAUGAAAAAUG